UCAACAGAGGCCCUGGGGAUUAGCAAUUCACUUAGUAUUCCAAGGCACCCUUGUCCCAGUAAGGAGGUAUUUAAGUCAUUGUCAGGGUCAGCAUUCUCAGCUGCCUGUGAUUCCCAGGGCUGCCAUAACAGAGUACCCAAACCUGAGAAAUGUGGAACAACAGAAACGCAUUUCAAAAGAUUUAUUUUUUUAUUUUUAUUUAUGUGUGUAUGUCUGUGUGAGUGUAUGUGGGUGUCUAUGGAGGCCAGAAGAGGUCAUUGGAUCUCUUGGAACAGGAGAUGGGCAUUUGUGAGCUGCCCAAUGAAGAGAGAAGCAGGAGUAAAUGUGGACUCUUUACAAGAUGUAUACACUUACUGGACAGCUUGCCGACCUAGCAAAGAAAACCAAGAAGUAGGCAUGCGAUGGAGGAUAAGUAUCGGAAUAGUGCCAUGACCCAGAAAGCAAGGAGGGGCCUCAAGAAGGGAGAGAGGAGUCCUGUGAAAGAUGGGAAAUGAUCAGAAGAUGAGGCUGGGAGCUGGAGAUGAGGCUCAGUUGGCAAAGAGCUUGCUUGGCAUGUAUGAGGCCCUGGGUUCAAUCCCGGCACUAUAUAAAACAGGCAUGGAUGGAGUGCUGGAUGCCCGUGAUGCCCGCACUCAGGAGGUAAAGGCAGGAGAAUUAGGAGUGCAAGAUCCUUCUUAGCUACAUGGAAACCAGAGCUGAAGGCAGUGGGACAGGAGCUUUGGAAAGUCCCUCACUUUGGAAGGUCAAGGCUGGAGACACUUGACCUACUUCUGUUCUGUGCUUAUGAUAGAGCAACAGUGUAGACUGGGAGUUCUGGAAGGCCGAGUCCUACCCCUGGGUCCAUCGGAGACCUGACAGCUGGAAGGCCUUGGGCACAAGGGCUCUCAGAAGGUUCUAGAGUCUCUGACUGGUCAACCUAGAGGACACCUUUCUUCCAAGUUGGACUGAUGGAUCCAUGAUAGAGAGUUUCAGGGUGGGUAAUGACCAGCAGAUGCAGCUCCAGGAAGCUCAGAGCCAAAGCACUUUCCAAAUCUGCUAGACAGGAUCUCCUUCUCCUCUAUAAUGAGAAACUGUCCUAUCCCAGGCCCAGAGCCAAAUGCUGAGAAGACAUACCAAAAGGGAAUCAAAUGCCUGACCUCUCAAGAAGCCAUGGACAAUGGAGAAGACAGACAGACAGACAGAACAGAGGCAAUGAUCUGUGUAAUCAAGCACAUUGCUGCAGUUUUCUAUCAGAAUUUUCUUCUUUCUAAGGCAGAGCGAGACUUCACUGUGUGAACGUGCAACACAUUUUGUUUAUUCUGUCAACCGUGAUGGACAUUGCUACUGCUUUUGCCUUUGGUCUAGUGUGGAGAGCUGUUGUGAACUUAGGGGCACACUCCUUUUCCUUUUACAAGUGAAAAAAUAUACAAUCAAGGAAAGUAGACCCCCAAAGAGACAGAAUGGAAAGAUCUCAGCUAGCAGUGAGAAGGGGUUAGAGAGGACUCCCCGUGAGGAAGCCACGCUUUUUUUCCCUUUUCUGGAACUGAGAGGAUGAGAAAUCAGCUAAGUUAAAUGUAAGUGAAGAUGAGCUUCAGCCACACGUGACAGCCUCGAACCUACAGGAAUGUUGGGUUAUUUCAGAAAAGGGAAUGGGGCUGAUAUGACGUAGGUAUAGAGAGGAAGGAG
This is a long non-coding RNA of Peromyscus californicus insignis, 1665 nucleotides long. RefSeq lists it as uncharacterized. The record is from RefSeq and is a predicted model, not a curated record. The transcript is spliced from 4 exons. Lineage: Eukaryota; Metazoa; Chordata; Mammalia; Rodentia; Cricetidae.